CCUACGGGAGGCAGCAGUAGGGAAUAUUGGACAAUGGGUGCGAGCCUGAUCCAGCCAUGCCGCGUGCAGGAAGAAGGCCUUCUGGGUUGUAAACUGCUUUUGCCGGGGGAUAAAAGACCCAUGCGUGGGGAAUUGAAGGUACCCGGUGAAUAAGCCACGGCUAACUACGUGCCAGCAGCCGCGGUAAUACGUAGGUGGCGAGCGUUGUCCGGAUUUAUUGGGUUUAAAGGGUGCGUAGGCGGCCCCGUAAGUCAGUGGUGAAAUACGGCAGCUCAACUGUCGAGGUGCCAUUGAUACUGCGGGGCUUGAGUACAGUCGAGGUAGGCGGAAUUGACGGUGUAGCGGUGAAAUGCUUAGAUAUCGUCAAGAACACCGAUAGCGAAGGCAGCUUGCUAGGCUGUAACUGACGCUGAGGCACGAAAGUGCGGGGAUCAAACAGGAUUAGGAUACCCUGGUAGUCCGCACAGUAAACGAUGGUCACUCGGUGUUGGCGGUACACGGCCAGCGCCUUAGCGAAAGCGUUAAGUGACCCACGUGGGAGUACGCCGCGAGGUAGAACGACAAGAGAGUAGACGGCGUGAGACGUCGCCGACGGACGACGACGAGGGAGGAGG
RNAcentral lists this ribosomal RNA (614 nucleotides) under uncultured bacterium. RNAcentral describes it as "bacterial SSU rRNA". The stretch from base 1 to 535 matches the Rfam family "Bacterial small subunit ribosomal RNA", at positions 338 to 873 of the family's 1533-position model. The record is from RNAcentral.